Molecule: ribosomal RNA, 510 nt
Filed under: uncultured bacterium
Lineage: Bacteria
Description: partial 16S ribosomal RNA
Rfam family: Bacterial small subunit ribosomal RNA
Source: RNAcentral
GACGAACGCUGGCGGCGUGCUUAACACAUGCAAGUCGAACGAAGAGCGAUGGAAGCUUGCUUCGAUCAAUCUUAGUGGCGAACGGGUGAGUAACGCGAAAUCAACCUUCCCUUCAGAGGGGGACAACAGUUGGAAACGACUGCUAAUACCGCAUACGAUCUAAUCUCGGCAUCGAGGAUAGAUGAAAGGUGGCCUCUACAUGUAAGCUAUCACUGAAGGAGGGGAUUGCGUCUGAUUAGCUAGUUGGAGGGGUAACGGCCCACCAAGGCGAUGAUGAGUAGCCGGUCUGAGAGGAUGAACGGCCACAUUGGGACUGAGACACGGCCCAGACUCCUACGGGAGGCAGCAGUGGGGAAUCUUCCGCAAUGGACGAAAGUCUGACGGAGCAACGCCGCGUGAGUGAUGACGGCCUUCGGGUUGUAAAGCUCUGUUAAUCGGGACGAAAGGCCUUCUUGCGAAUAGUGAGAAGGAUUGACGGUACCGGACUAGAAAGCCACGGCUAACUACGUG